AGCCUUAGAAGCUGCACCAAAGCACUGGUCUUGUAAACCAGAGGUAGGGGAAUCCCCCUAAGGCUA
Molecule: transfer RNA, 66 nt
Filed under: Neotrigonia margaritacea
Lineage: Eukaryota; Metazoa; Mollusca; Bivalvia; Trigoniida; Trigoniidae
Description: tRNA-Thr
Rfam family: tRNA
About the family: Transfer RNA (tRNA) molecules are approximately 80 nucleotides in length. Their secondary structure includes four short double-helical elements and three loops (D, anti-codon, and T loops).
Source: RNAcentral